AGCUGGCGGCGUGCCUAAUACAUGCAAGUCGAGCGGACAGAAGGGAGCUUGCUCCCGGAUGUUAGCGGCGGACGGGUGAGUAACACGUGGGUAACCUGCCUGUAAGACUGGGAUAACUCCGGGAAACCGGAGCUAAUACCGGAUAGUUCCUUGAACCGCAUGGUUCAAGGAUGAAAGACGGUUUCGGCUGUCACUUACAGAUGGACCCGCGGCGCAUUAGCUAGUUGGUGGGGUAAUGGCUCACCAAGGCGACGAUGCGUAGCCGACCUGAGAGGGUGAUCGGCCACACUGGGACUGAGACACGGCCCAGACUCCUACGGGAGGCAGCAGUAGGGAAUCUUCCGCAAUGGACGAAAGCCCGACGGAGCAACGCCGCGUGAGUGAUGAAGGUUUUCGGAUCGUAAAGCUCUGUUGUUAGGGAAGAACAAGUGCGAGAGUAACUGCUCGCACCUUGACGGUACCUAAACCAGACAUGCCACGGCUAACUACUUGCCAGCAGCCGAGGUUAAUACGGAUGUGGCAAGCGUUGUCCAGAAAUCCUGAGCGUACAGCGGCUCGCAGGCGGA
RNAcentral lists this ribosomal RNA (566 nucleotides) under Bacillus pumilus. RNAcentral describes it as "bacterial SSU rRNA". It matches the Rfam family "Bacterial small subunit ribosomal RNA", at positions 34 to 579 of the family's 1533-position model. Lineage: Bacteria; Bacillati; Bacillota; Bacilli; Caryophanales; Bacillaceae. The record is from RNAcentral.